This is a long non-coding RNA of Salvia miltiorrhiza (redroot sage), 4475 nucleotides long. RefSeq lists it as uncharacterized. The transcript has 4 exons. The record is from RefSeq and is a predicted model, not a curated record. Lineage: Eukaryota; Viridiplantae; Streptophyta; Magnoliopsida; Lamiales; Lamiaceae.
CCGGUUCUCAGUGAGUUCGAUGGCAUCUGAUCUCACAGAUGAAGAUCCAGAUGAGAUGCUUCUCCGCAUGCCCUCACUGCCUUGAGCUGAAUUUCUGCUGAUAGAGCCGCGCACAUGGGAAUCAUCUUCAACUAUUUCGGGACAAAACCACCCAAGGCGAAAAGCAGGAGCAGUGCAAAUAGACCAAAUGUGUUUGCGACAAUCAUGUUCCUACCGGCUGAACCAAUAAACCUGAACAAUCCUGAUGCCGCCUGAUGCAUAAACAGAAGCAGAAGGUACUGCUUCAGUAACCUGCAAAUGGGACUCUUUUUCAGUUACUACAUUUGAAGAAGGGACCGAGAAUAUUAUCUGAGGUGUAUUUUGUAACUGUUACCUUGUUAUGUUUGGGUCGAAUCCAAUCACGUAGUAGGUGACAAAUACCCAUAAAGCAACUUCAAGGAAGGUGACAGGGAUUUUCAGGAUCCAUGAGGGUAUAGCAUAUGCCCAAGGGGGGAAGAAGUACAUAUCCCUUUGUUUGUAGAAUACAGGUAGCUUGUAAAUCGUCAUGGCAAGCUCAGACAUACCGUUGAACAUGACAAGAAUGACAGCGAAAAACAGAGCACCGGUAUAUAUCCCCCCGUCUCCUAUGUCAUCUUUACCCAUCUCUGUUCUCAGGAAGAGUGUAAUCGCAAUCAAUGACAUCACAGAAAUCUGAAACCAGAUAUAGAUAAUUUUCGUUAGCAAAUUUUUUUCAACUAAAUAUAAUAGACAAGCACAUGGUUUCACGUUUAUAAGCUUGCCUGGAAGAUCUUGAAGUAGAAGACAAAUGAGUUUCUCUUCAUCAGCAAGUAUUCUCUGUCGGCACAGGCUUUUAGAAGUUCUUUUUUCCCAAUACCGUACUUCUCUGUUGUCAAAGCUGCAGGGUGGCUUUUGGUCUUAUCAAAUGGGAUUGAGAGCUCAUCUCCAAUCCUCCGUCCAACAACGUAUGAUUGGAAGGCCUCUGCAAAUUCACUAACUGAGACAUAUCGGUAUGGCUCAUUCUUUCUUGCCCAGUAUUGCUUUUGAUCUUUCUUUGAAGUUACCUGCAUUAGUUUCAUUCUUUUCAUUAGACCCAUUGAAAGGCUAUAUAAAAUGAAGGAUUCCUAACUUUUAUCAUUUCUUUUGCUUACUUCUUGUAAGAAAUCAGCCACUCCUUUCCGUACUGGGCAUGCAAAACCCAUGGACUCAAAGAAGUCUAACACAUUUUCUCGAGGACCCUGAUAGACGAUCUGACCAUCGGACAAGAGAACAAUGUCAUCAAACAGAUCAUAGGUCUCGGGUGCUGGCUGCAGCAGGGAGAUAAAUGCAGUUCCUUUCAUAAUGUGGACAUAUUGUCGAAGCAUAUUCACUAUUUGGAAAGUCGUCGAACUAUCCAAACCAGUGGAUAUCUCGUCCAUGAAAAGUGCCUUUGCUGGUCCAACCAGCAUUUCUCCUGUGAUUUUUCACACCAGAAAUCAGUGUCAAGAAAUACCCCUUAUCAUCUCGUCUCCGACUAAAGUGUCGGCACAGAUUUCAAGCCCCAGAACCUGGAAAAAGAACAGGAGAAUCUUGAGAACACUGAGCUAUUGGAAUUGUUAGAAUGCUCAUUAAAUUUCGAGUUUAAUAUCUGCUCCAGGUACCUUAAGAACAUAAUCUGUAACAACAUUUGCUGCAUCUCCUUCUGUUGCUGCUGCCUACAUAAUAAGAAACAAAUUUUAAAUUUUGUGUGAAAAUAUCGAUAGUCCUGACUUCAGCCGAGUUGUCUAAUUGUUGAUUUUGUCUGAAACAAUAUUGAUUGUCCAAAAGCAGUGCCUGUGCUAUUUCAGUACUCAGUUAUGUUUUUCACUGCACAAUUGUGUAAAUUACUAAGAUAUCCUAACUCCUAUUAGUUGUUAGCUCAAGCCAAUACAUGCUAGUGAAUUAGUUUUCAUUUCUUUUUUGUUGGAUAUAUGUUAUUUGUAUUAACUUAUUAAUGAGCAUUUAGUAUUUAUGUUUUUAUGUGAAGAAUAUCAUUGUUUUAGGGAAAUUAAUUAAGUUAACUUUAGUUUGAGAUACAAAGCUAUUAGCGAUUAUUCUAAAUUUUAUCAUGUAAGUUAUUAGGACAUGUUGAUAUUUGAUUAAUCUUAGUACCUCACAUUGAAAAAGAUCUAUUUGUAAUACUAAUUGUUACCAGUAAAUUUUUUGCAACAAUUUUAGAAUACAAAAGAUAUAAAUUUUAAAAGAUAAAUGUUAGUAUUAGUCAUGUCUAGCUAUUAUUUUUUAAUGAUGCACUAUACUUGAGAUAAUAUUUUGAUUUUACUACAAAACUUAAUUUUAUUUUUACAUUUAUAUAUUUAUUUUAAUAUUAUUUGCUUCUGAAGUUUUUUCCCCAUUACCUGUAUUCGUUUAUUGGUUUUUUCUUUUCGCGUUUGCCGCUUCAUAGACGAGUACUCUUUUCCCUUUUUAAGGUUUUUCCCAUUGGGUUUUCCUUAAAAAGGUUUUAAUGAGGCUCGGCCCUUAAUUAGCUUUUUUUGUGCUUUCAAGGGUUUAGGUUCUUUUUAUUUUUUCCUUUAUAUAUAGUCGCAUUUUAAUAAUUAUUAUAAAUUGGACCCCGUGAAACGAAAUCCGGGCUCCAUAAUUCAGUUAGAUUUUUAGUUUCAAUUCAGGAAAUCAUAUAAAAAUUAAAUUGAAUCCCAUUUUUUUUUUUGCAAUUUUCUAGUUGUCAAUCUAUUCUACUCAACCCUUUUGUAAAUCAUUGGGAUACGCCAAAGAUCUUGCUAAUGAAAUCUAUAAAGCUAGAGUAGUUAAGUGGGCUCAAAAAAAUGUUUUGUUUUACUUUAUUUAAAGAUGUGCAGAUACUUAGCGUCAAGACAUAAUGACAAUAAUUGGCAUUAAAUAAACCAAAAAUCUGUCGCUUUGUUGGAAUCAAAACUCUCUUUUCCUGUCAAAUACUUCAAAUAGGAUUAUCUCCAACCAACUACUGUUGAAAACUGUCUUGCAAAUCAAAAGAUAGCCGCCACCUCCCUUUUCCUAAGAUUAUACUCACACACAUAGGUACAUAUAUAUAUAUAGUGUGUGUGUGUUUACCUUCAUGUAGAUAUCAACAUCAUGAUCUGGUUUGAUAUUUGCUGCUUUCUCUCUUCGUGACAGCUCUGCCAACAUAUCUGUUCAAGAAAUCCAAAUAAGACAACACUUAACUUAAAACAUAAAUAGGGAGUACAUUUUUCUGGUCAUGCUGGCUUAUGUAUGCUGCAGUUCUUUGAGGUACAAAUUCAUGCAUUUCAUGCCCAUUGUAAGUAAUUCUCCCCGAAACCUGCCCAAAUAUUUCGUUUUCAUACUUCAGAAACACGUUCGAUUCUCUAUCAAUCAUGUCCACACACACAAAAAAAAAGGACUGUUUACUUUGAGGGUUGGAUCAAGCUUUCCGGCCAAAGCAAGCAAAAGUGUAGUUUUCCCAGAACUUGGAGGACCUAACAGCAGAGUCAUUCUGCAUGGUUUGAUAAUUCCACUAACAUCCUUAAGAAUUGUAAAAGGCUUCUUUCUACUUGGAAGUAUGUGUAGUGCGUUCAAGAAUCCCUGCACACACAAAAAAAUGAUUUUUUUUCUAUGUAUAUGUAUAUGUAUGUUCAGUUUCUUGUUUUUGCUUUUACCUCAACCAGAUUUAUGUGGAAGUUGACAAAAGUAGGCAGAGCCCUGCUUGCACUAAAGGCUUCCGCAUCGAUAUUCAGAUGCUCAUACCUCACUUCUAUGGUUGGAAUAUCGAUCCCAACUCUGCAGAUGCAAGAAUUCAUGCAUAUUAGAAAUCAAAGAACUCAAUCAAAAUCAUUCAAAACACACACACACACACACACCUAUCAAUCCUGUUUCUGAGCUUUAACAAGAACUUCUCAUUAUCUUCUUCCACAGUUUGGACCAGCCUCUCGACGAGCUGCUUCUUGUCUUGGAUUCCCAGAUCAUGCACCUCAACCUCGUUGGCGCCUCUUGAUCCGAGCAGCAAGCCUCUCCUCAGGCGAUCGAACGUGGGCAGUUUCUCGAGCGCAGCCCACUUCAAGGCCUCCUCAUCAUCUUCUUCACGCGAUGAUCGUGUGAACACUUCCAACCCUGUGUUCCUCCAUAUGUUCGAGCUGUUCACUCUGAAGCUUUCACCUCGUUUGCUGCUUGAUCUCAAGCUACCACUCGCUUUGUACAGAUCGCCCGCAUCCAUUCUUGCACCACUCUCUCUCUCUCUCUCUUCUUUGUUUAGCAGCAGGAGUACUAGAAAAGGGAGUGCUGUGGAAUUCAAGAACUGGGAAGAAAGAGUGCAGUUUCGUUGUUGUGGAAAAAAUGGUGGUGUUUUGUUUGAAGAGGGAGAAAGAUUGUUUUAUACAUAGUUUGUCAAGAUAACAAUUUGAGCCUGCAGUCAAGGGAGGGGCUGAAUAUUCAAAAUUUGAGGGAUUUUUUAAUGUUGGAAAUUCUGUUUUUAUUGGAAAUAUUUAACGAUGUUUCUUACUUCUUGGAAA